GUUACUCCUGUCUUUAUAUACCUGGGUUCUCCUUGGGUGUUUUGUCAGUUCGUUUGUGCUUCCAAGCUUCAUGCCAUUCUUGUGCUUUCCUGUGUUCUCAGUUUUGGGAUUAUUUCUUUGUUUGGAUUUUAUCCCCUGGACUCCCAGCCAGCUUUUGUUUGUGCCUGUUCUGUUCUGACCUUGUUGUAUGAGCCUUCUACAGUGCAUUACCACCACCAGUGACAGCAGCGGCUGAGCCGACCUGCAGCUAUAGCAUCGGCAACUUAUUAUUCAUGCAAGAGGGUGAAGCCCGAGUGACAAGACAUAUCUUCCCUGCUGGGGUUACCUCGACUGAGAAACUGAAUCCUUGCCAACUCACCUGGUGCUGUUCCGUGGCUGAAUUUGACUUCUGGCCUCCAUGUGAAAGUCAGUACAUUUCUAAGGGGAGGGGUAAUUAUUGUCAAUUAAGGUAUGGAUUGUAGAAAUCAAACAAAUAAACAGGAUAAACAAGUCAGCUUCUGCAGAUACACCGAAGACACUGCAGUCUAACAGAAUCACAUUGAAACAGAUCUGCUGUGACAUGCAACUGAAUAUGUAAAUGACAAAUUUUCGACACUCACAUCAGCUUAGCUGAGUUAAAUAUCUGGUCCCAAAGCAGGAACAAUGCUUCCAGCAGGCCACACACACCAGAAAUGUGAGUCUGUUUUCUUGUUUUUUACUGAUACUUUCUGCUAAUGCACUGUAUCCUUUUGACUUUUCCCACAUGUUUCUGGGACUUUCUCUGAAGAAAUGCAACAGUGAUUAAUUAUAAUAUCUGUUGGUUUCUUCAUGUAGAGUACAUCAAACCUGGUCAUUGUUCUGGGUUUUGGUAUUUUAAGAAGUGCAUUUGGUUCAAUAGUAGUAGCUCAAAUCAUUUUCUAAGGAACACUGUGAGUCAGUUCAUAUUAGGGUUUCUUAUGUGUAUGGGAAUGAAGCCACAGGUUUGCCUUUUCACUGACAUGACAGGAGGUUUCACUAGCUUUUAGUGGGCCAAAAGGCAUUUUAUUGCUAUCUUUAUGUACUGUAAUAGACAAAAAGUUCUGCCACAAAACACAAGACCUAGACAGACUCAGAAGUGUUUCUUUUUUUGUUAAAAGAUGCCACAAGACAUUUUGGAGAAACGUCUCCUGUAUAAUGGAGGCAAGACACCACCAGCACUCCAGUGUUGGCGGUUUGUUGUGAGUCAGCCAGUAAUCACUGAAACAGAUUGCACUUUACUUUCACAACUCAAAGAGACUGAGAGAACGAGAGAAAAACUGGAGCUGCCGUCUUUUAGUCUCAGAGACAUUGUUCUUCUGAGCUUGGCUCUAGCAGGAAAACAACUGUGUGAACAACAAUAACGUGGUGUAUCUCCAUAUUCAGCUCUGCAGAAAACAAAAGUAAACAGUUUCAGAGAGACUGUCAACAUAACACUUCUCCACAAUUGGAAGUAAAUGUGCAUUGACUUAAAAAGCAGCCUGAACCAUACCUCAACUUUCAAUAUUUAAUGAAAGUGCAAUAAAUAUGAAAGUUCGGGCUUUCAAAACUCCUUAUCAGACUUUUAAAUUUGCAUUGUGAAGGUAUACCCCCUAGAUAAUAAUGUUGAACUGCUGCUUAGCAACAUUUCCAUGCACAGAAUUAAUAACAAAUGCGAUUGCAAGGUUUGAAGAAUUUCUCACCGAUAGAGUCAGAAUUAUGUUAACCUCCUAUAGCAGAUUUUUGUGGCCACACUUCCAAACACACCAUUGACAUCGUCAUCUUUUAAGUUAUGGAGCUGAGGCUGGGGCUGUAAAUAGUUCUCUAAUUUUUAACAACUUGAUCAGCUUGAUCAAAAAAACAAAAACAAAAAAACAAACAAACAAAAAAAACCAUAUCAGUUUCAGGGUUAAAUUAACAACUUCAAGCCCUACCUAAAUCCUGAUUAAGCACCACUCAUGUCCUGCCAAGCCCCAGCCAAGUACAGAUACAGA
Long non-coding RNA from Scatophagus argus, 1967 nucleotides. RefSeq lists it as uncharacterized. The transcript has 3 exons. The record is from RefSeq and is a predicted model, not a curated record. NCBI's taxonomy places the organism in Eukaryota, Metazoa, Chordata, Actinopteri, Scatophagidae.